AAAGUCUUAAUGCAGGUUUAAGGUUUUAAAGUUUAAAACCGCACUAAGACUUUUG
Molecule: microRNA precursor, 55 nt
Filed under: Sarcophilus harrisii (Tasmanian devil)
Lineage: Eukaryota; Metazoa; Chordata; Mammalia; Dasyuromorphia; Dasyuridae
Description: Sha-Mir-7262-P6_pre stem-loop
Source: RNAcentral